RNAcentral lists this non-coding RNA (66 nucleotides) under unclassified sequences. The record is from RNAcentral.
GCCAUGCUGAUCGGUGCCUCCGCGCGGCGCAUGGCGGACAACGGAAUGUUUCCGGCAAAACCGAUC